Molecule: ribosomal RNA, 595 nt
Filed under: Quambalaria sp. CMB-W001
Lineage: Eukaryota; Fungi; Basidiomycota; Exobasidiomycetes; Microstromatales; Quambalariaceae
Description: eukaryotic LSU rRNA
Rfam family: 5.8S ribosomal RNA (bases 159-312)
Source: RNAcentral
UCCACUCUGUGGAUCCCGACCCUCACAUUAUCCACAUACACUUGUGCACUGUUGGUUAGGUGUGAACCUUUGGUUUAUCGCCUGCCAACGCCAAUUAUACAAACUCUGAGAACUAUGAAUGUGAAUUUAACUUGCCAAUUUUUGGCGAAAUUAAAUACAACUUUCGACAACGGAUCUCUUGGUUCUCCCAUCGAUGAAGAACGCAGCGAAUUGCGAUAAGUAAUGUGAAUUGCAGAAUUCAGUGAAUCAUCGAAUCUUUGAACGCACCUUGCGCUCCCUGGUAUUCCUAGGAGCAUGCCUGUUUGAGUGUCAUGAAUUCCUCAAACCCCAAUGUUUUGCAAAAUUCAUUGCUUGGGUUUGGUUGUGGGCCUAUAUUGCUGCUUCACGGCAGCUGGCCUUAAAGAUAUUAGCUGGACUCUCCGAGACUCUUGGAUAGUUCCACUUGAUGUGAUAAAUUUGCAUCGGUGGGUCAAGACUAUGCUUGGGAAGUGUGAGAAGUCUGCUUCUAAUCCGGCAAGAGGUUCCAUCCUCGACCCAAUUCAUUUACAACUCUGGCCUCAAAUCAGGUAGGACUACCCGCUGAACUUAAGCAUAU